GAUGAAGAACGCAGCGAAAUGCGAUAAGUAAUGUGAAUUGCAGAAUUCAGUGAAUCAUCGAAUCUUUGAACGCACAUUGCGCCCCUUGGUAUUCCGAGGGGCAUGCCUGUUCGAGCGUCAUUAUAACCCCUCAAGCUCAGCUUGGUGUUGGGGCCUGCCGCACGGGCAGCCCUUAAAAUCAGUGGCGGUGCCAUCUGGCUCUAAGCGUAGUAAUUCUUCUCGCUAUAGAGUCCCGGUGGAUGCUUGCCAUUAACCCCCAAUUUUCUAUGGUUGACCUCGGAUCAGGUAGGGAUACCCGCUGAACUUAAGCAUACAAUAAGCGGAGGA
RNAcentral lists this unclassified non-coding RNA (327 nucleotides) under soil metagenome. RNAcentral describes it as "partial contains 5.8S ribosomal RNA, internal transcribed spacer 2, and large subunit ribosomal RNA". The stretch from base 1 to 120 matches the Rfam family "5.8S ribosomal RNA", at positions 35 to 154 of the family's 154-position model. The record is from RNAcentral.